Molecule: small nucleolar RNA, 140 nt
Filed under: Chlamydomonas reinhardtii
Lineage: Eukaryota; Viridiplantae; Chlorophyta; Chlorophyceae; Chlamydomonadales; Chlamydomonadaceae
Description: CrACA54b snoRNA
Source: RNAcentral
CUGCGCUCACACUCCCAGACGGCUAGUCCAUUUGGGCCAUGAUCCGUUUGGAUUAACCGGCGCAGUUAGGAAACCCGGCCACAUGAUACCGGUUGCGCCUUCCACAUGCGCUAUCCGUUUAGCUCCAGGCUUGAACAGUC